RNA transcript from Bombus terrestris (buff-tailed bumblebee), 2569 nucleotides. RefSeq lists it as uncharacterized. The transcript is spliced from 4 exons. The record is from RefSeq and is a predicted model, not a curated record. Lineage: Eukaryota; Metazoa; Arthropoda; Insecta; Hymenoptera; Apidae.
AAUCGGCCACCAUAGAACGCUGCUUUGAGAAGUUAGGAUUCCGUAUGUAAUGCCAUCUUCCUGUGAAAUUAUUGAAGGAAUUUAAGAAAUUUAAAAUAAGCCCUUAAACAUACUCAAUGACUAAACUAAACUAAUUUUCAUCUAUCUUUUACCAUCUAUUUAAAUCUGGUACUUGGUCCGCCAUGAGUGCAGUUUACGACAUCAUUAAGGAAAGAGAAAAAGAGACAGAAACAAUAAGGUCCGGGCUAUUUUUACAUGAUGACUACGAAUUCUACCUUUUCAAUUGAAGCGCUUUGCUGCAGACAAAUCAACCAAUAUCAUCCGGUUACUAAGAGCUUUAUCCCCAUCCCGGAGUUUCCAGAUUUGUAUAUGACCGUGGUAUGAAGUGUACAUGUAUGUGGCCAUUUCCUAAGUCUCGCCAGCGCGGGUUUUGAUCUAAGUGAAUAACCUUUAUAUAUGUACAUAGAAUUAACAAAACAUAAAUAUUAUUUGAGAUUAUCGUCUUGAAGACAACAAUGAUGAUGUCUUAUGUGCAUACAUAUGUGACGCUAUAAUCCGAAAUGAUGGAUUUAAUGAAUUAUUAUGAUAUACUUGGUUGUACCAAGGAAUCAACAUUUGAAGACAUAAAAUGUGCAUAUCGUGCAUUAGCUUUGAAGUUUCAUCCAGAUAAAAAUGCAACUGAUGCAAAUGAUAGUAUAAAAUUUCAAUAUGUGUUAAAAGCUUGGCAUGUUCUGCGCGAUCCAAAGUUGAAAGAAGAGUAUGAUGCCAUACUAAAGCAAGAAGAAUUAGAUUUGGAAAAUAUUUUAAUAUAUGCAAAAAUAUGGGCGAAUGAAUUGGAAGAAAUGGAUAAUAAUAAAGAUAUGUUGUUUUAUCAAUGCAGAUGUGGGGGGUUAUAUUGUAUCGAGAAGCAACAAAUUCAAAAGAAAAAUCAGAUGAUACACGUUCCUUGUUCGGAGUGUACUUUUUUUUCUAUCAUUGAAACAUAAUACUUGUAUGUAACAGCCAUUGACAUUAGGACAGACACAAGGUGAAAAACAUGUAAUUUAAAAUGCAGCAACAUUUUCUAUUUCUUAUAAAAAAUGAUACAACAGAUAACACAUCAUUACAAAUAUAAACUAUUGAGCAAUAUACAAAUAAAAACACGAUCCUUAAAAUAUCCUAGGUUCAAUAAUAAAAAUUGCAUUUACAUAAAUCGUGUCUUGCAUUAAUAAUUGAAUUUACAAGACUUAUUGUCAAUCAGAAUUAACUGUUUGUAUAGCUUAUGCAAUUUCUGUAAUGAUAGAGUUUGUAUAAAAAAUUAAUUUACUAUAAAAAUCUAUAAAUUUGUAACUUAUUACAUAUUUCUUAAUAUUUCUUACUUUGGAAAAAUUUGUAAUUUAAUUAUGUUUAUUCUUGCAUGAUAACUGAUUUUAUGUUAUUCAGUUGAUUCGUGCAUAUUGCACAGGAUAAAUUUGCAACUCUUAUUAUUGCACCAUGGCAAAACCAGACUUGUUACUAAUGUCGAAAUCAAUAUUUUAUUUAAAUAUAGACAAUCCAAUUAAAUUACUAUCACGAAUAUUCGAUUAACCCUGGUUGUUUAAUCGGCAAACAAUAAAUAGCGAAUGACUUUUGAACAUGUUACGCAUGGAAAAUUAAUCAAAUACUAUAAUGGAAUUCGUCAAAGGAAUUCAGGAAAAAAUAAAGAAGAGAAAGGCAGUAAUGCAGUAAGGAAAAACGCACCAGUUUUAACAUCCCACAGUUUAACUGUACCAUCAUCCGAUGAAGUAAUUACAAAAUGGCUGUUGAACUGAAGGCAAGUGACAGCAGACUGAUGCUUAUUUGGACCAGACAAGGUUUGAAGGCAGUGACCACUAACAAUAUCCCAUACUUUAACAGUUGAAUCUGCAUUUCCAGAUACUAAGAUAUUAUUGCGCAAUUCCAUUCCAGAAGUGAGCGACUGAUGUCCCAUUAAUGUAUGUCUACAUGCACCAGUUUCAACUUCCCAUACUCUUAUGCUUGUAUCCAAAGAACCGCUAACAACAUGUACACCAUCAAACUAAUAAGAAGAAAGAAAGAAAAGAGUGCAUUAACACUUCUUGAUAUAUAAUAUCUAUGUGUAAACAAAUUUAGUGCUGUCCAAGGUAUGUCUUAAAGUUUUGUAGAUGUAGAACUGUUUGUCCAAUGAAAUGACAAUAUGUAAAGAGAGCCAAAAUUUUAUUACAAAUAAUUAUUUCAAUUGUGAACAGCAUCAGUUUAAAAAAUAUUAUAAAUUACAUAUUUUUCUUAAUAUUAGAUUGCCCGAAAAGUUUCUUUCGUUUUAUAAGGAAAUAAUAGACGCACAAUGUUUUUUUGUUUUAUAUUAGUUUAUUCAAUUAUUCACGAACAUUCAAUUCAAUAAAAUAGUAUAAAACAGAAAUUGUCGUUCAUCUAUUAUCACCUUAUGAAAUGAAAGAAACUUUUCGGACAACCUAACAUACAUUAUAUAUUGUAUCGCAUUAGUCCAUGUAUUACUUUUGUAUAAUUCGUAUAUACAGUUUAAUUAACGCUUACUUGGAGAGAAUAAACACGAUUUGUAUGUCCUUGUAAAGUA